RNAcentral lists this long non-coding RNA (366 nucleotides) under Manihot esculenta (cassava). RNAcentral describes it as "long non-coding RNA (MESC_LNC005887)". The record is from RNAcentral. Lineage: Eukaryota; Viridiplantae; Streptophyta; Magnoliopsida; Malpighiales; Euphorbiaceae.
AAGGAUGAACUUGUCACCAUUUAGCCCUCUACAUAAUCCAAUCAUGCCAGGGGCGUAGUGCAGGCCACACCUGGUCUUUCUCUUAUACAUAACAUAACAUAACAUACAUAUUCCAUGGUGCCGGGGGCGUAGUCCAGGCCACUUCCGGUCUUUCUCUUACAUAGUGCCAGGGGCGUAGUGCAGGCCACAUCUGGACUUCCAUAUCAUAUCAUCAUGUCAUAACAUGUGAGGGCUAAUGGAUCAUUCAACAUUCAUCCACAUCAACAACAUAUUAUGCAAUGCAACAUAUUCGUGAUUUCUAAUGCAUACAACCUAAAAUAUCACAUGGCAUCCGUGAUGCAUGAACAUGCUCAAAACUGAUUUAUU